CCCUUAGAGUUUGAUCCUGGCUCAGAACGAACGCUGGCGGCGUGGAUAAGACAUGCAAGUCGAACGAGAGAAUUGCUAGCUUGCUAAUAAUUCUCUAGUGGCGCACGGGUGAGUAACACGUGAGUAACCUGCCCCCAAGAGUGGGAUAGCCCCGGGAAACUGGGAUUAAUACCGCAUAAAAUCGCAAGAUUAAAGCAGCAAUGCGCUUGGGGAUGGGCUCGCGUCCUAUUAGUUAGUUGGUGAGGUAACGGCUCACCAAGGCGAUGACGGGUAGCCGGUCUGAGAGGAUGUCCGGCCACACUGGAACUGAGACACGGUCCAGACACCUACGGGUGGCAGCAGUCGAGAAUCAUUCACAAAGGGGGAAACCCUGAUGGUGCGACGCCGCGUGGGGGAAUGAAGGUCUUCGGAUUGUAAACCCCUGUCAUGUGGGAGCAAAUAAAAA
This 445-nucleotide ribosomal RNA is filed under the name uncultured bacterium. Its description in RNAcentral is "bacterial SSU rRNA". It matches the Rfam family "Bacterial small subunit ribosomal RNA", at positions 1 to 456 of the family's 1533-position model. The record is from RNAcentral.